AAUACAUGUCGCCGUUGACUUUUAGUCACACGUUUGACCAUUCGUCCUAUUUAAAAAAUUUAUGCAAAUAUUAUUUAUUUUGUUAUGAAUUGGUUUAUUACUAUAUAUAUUUUAAACAUGACUUGCAUUUUUGUAUAUUUGCAUAAAUUUUUUGAAUAAGACGAAUGGUCAAACAUGUGAUAAAAAGUCAACGGCGGCAUGUAUU
This is a microRNA precursor of Leersia perrieri, 205 nucleotides long. It matches the Rfam family "MIR812 microRNA precursor family". The record is from Rfam. Lineage: Eukaryota; Viridiplantae; Streptophyta; Magnoliopsida; Poales; Poaceae.